GGAGAGUUUGAUCCUGGCUCAGGAUGAACGCUGGCGGCGUGCUUAACACAUGCAAGUCGAACGAACCUUCGGGUUAGUGGCGGACGGGUGAGUAACGCGUGAGAAUCUGCCCUCAGGAGGGGGAUAACGGCUGGAAACGGCCGCUAAUACCCCAUAUGCCGAGAGGUGAAAUGAAUUUCGCCUGAGGAUGAGCUCGCGUCUGAUUAGCUAGUUGGUAGGGUAAAGGCCUACCAAGGCUUCGAUCAGUAGCUGGUCUGAGAGGAUGAUCACCCACACUGGGACUGAGACACGGCCCAGACUCCUACGGGAGGCAGCAGUGGGGAAUUUUCCGCAAUGGGCGAAAGCCUGACGGAGCAACGCCGCGUGAGGGAUGAAGGCCUCUGGGCUGUAAACCUCUUUUAUCAAGGAAGAAGAUCUGACGGUACUUGAUGAAUAAGCCACGGCUAAUUCCGUGCCAGCAGCCGCGGUAAUACGGGAGUGGCAAGCGUUAUCCGGAAUUAUUGGGCGUAAAGCGUCCGCAGGCGGUCUUACAAGUCUGUCGUUAAAGCGUGGAGCUUAACUCCAUUUCAGCGAUGGAAACUGUAAGACUAGAGUGUGGUAGGGGCAGAGGGAAUUCCCGGUGUAGCGGUGAAAUGCGUAGAUAUCGGGAAGAACACCAGUGGCGAAGGCGCUCUGCUGGGCCAUAACUGACGCUCAUGGACGAAAGCCAGGGGAGCGAAAGGGAUUAGAUACCCCUGUAGUCCUGGCCGUAAACGAUGAACACUAGGUGUCGGGGGAAUCGACCCCCUCGGUGUCGUAGCCAACGCGUUAAGUGUUCCGCCUGGGGAGUACGCACGCAAGUGUGAAACUCAAAGGAAUUGACGGGGGCCCGCACAAGCGGUGGAGUAUGUGGUUUAAUUCGAUGCAACGCGAAGAACCUUACCAGGGUUUGACAUCCUGCGAAUCCCUUGGAAACGAGGGAGUGCCUUCGGGAACGCAGUGACAGGUGGUGCAUGGCUGUCGUCAGCUCGUGUCGUGAGAUGUUGGGUUAAGUCCCGCAACGAGCGCAACCCACGUCUUUAGUUGCCAGCAUUUAGUUGGGCACUCUAGAGAGACUGCCGGUGAUAAACCGGAGGAAGGUGUGGAUGACGUCAAGUCAUCAUGCCCCUUACAUCCUGGGCUACACACGUACUACAAUGCUACGGACAAAGGGCAGCAAACUCGCGAGAGCUAGCAAAUCCCAUAAACCGUGGCUCAGUUCAGAUCGUAGGCUGCAACUCGCCUACGUGAAGGAGGAAUCGCUAGUAAUCGCAGGUCAGCAUACUGCGGUGAAUACGUUCCCGGGCCUUGUACACACCGCCCGUCACACCAUGGAAGUUGGCCACGCCCGAAGUCGUUACUCCAACCCUUGUGGAGGAGGAUGCCGAAGGUGGGGCUGAUGACUGGGGUGAAGUCGUAACAAGGUAGCCGUACCGGAAGGUGCGGCUGGAUCACCUCCUAA
Molecule: ribosomal RNA, 1480 nt
Filed under: Cyanobium sp. LB03
Lineage: Bacteria; Bacillati; Cyanobacteriota; Cyanophyceae; Synechococcales; Prochlorococcaceae
Description: bacterial SSU rRNA
Rfam family: Bacterial small subunit ribosomal RNA
Source: RNAcentral